AUCAUGUGGUGAGCCAGGAAGCCAGAGCAAUUCAUAGGUCAAGUUCACUCUUUUUAUAACAAUCCAUUCUCAUGGGAACUAAUUUUAUGAGACUGGCUUUAAUCCCUUCAGAAGGCAGGACACCCAACUUCCACUAGGACCCACCUCUCAAAGAUUUUGCCACUCUUAACAAUUCUAUGUUGGGUACCAGUCUUACAGCACAUGAACUCUUGGGGGACAAACCAUACUCAAAUUAAGACAACCUAAAUGCAAGUCUACUUGCAAUGUCAUUAACAUUUGAUAGUCAGGACAACAAAAUCCAAUAGAGGAAGAUUUUUCUUUAGUCCAUCAAUAAUAUACAAGGCCUCCAGAAGAAUGGCCUACAGCAAUGGAACUGGAUGAGCACAGACUGAAACCUCUGAGGCUGGAAAAUAUCCAGGGUGGUUCUUGUCCAAAGAAGAAGAAAAAGGGAACAGAUAUCAACCAAGCCAAGAUCUCCAGCCAAGUCUAGCUGGAUUUCUGCCUGAGAAGACCAACUACACUGACCCAGAGACUUCCGAGUAAGGAAGAUAAAUGGGCAACAGAGCUGUGGCUUCGAGUGCACUGCUUGUAUUGACCUUGAAGAAUUACUUGAGUCACCUUUCAUCAGAUAAACGGAGAGCUAUAAUUUGUCUCUUAACAAGACUGCCAAUAGAGCAUCUGUGAGAUUUCUACAGACUCCAAGGUUUCCCAUCAUUUUUUGUCGUGGCAGGCAACCCUUCUCUGAACUCUGGCUACAGUGAUCUCUGUUUUAGUAGGUCAUCAACUGUGCUCGUAGCCUUUUUAUUCUACCUUUAUGACCAUCUCAGAAAG
Heterocephalus glaber (naked mole-rat) is the source of this 831-nucleotide long non-coding RNA. NCBI's taxonomy places the organism in Eukaryota, Metazoa, Chordata, Mammalia, Rodentia, Bathyergidae. The record is from Ensembl.